Schistosoma curassoni is the source of this 45-nucleotide non-coding RNA. The record is from Rfam. NCBI's taxonomy places the organism in Eukaryota, Metazoa, Platyhelminthes, Trematoda, Strigeidida, Schistosomatidae.
AUCCAGCUGACAAAUCUUAAAUAGGAUGAAACGUAUGUCCUGAAU